CUACGGGAGGCACCAGUGGGGAAUUUUGCGCAAUGGGGGAAACCCUGACGCAGCGAUACCGCGUGAGUGAAGAAGGCCUUUGGGUCGUAAAGCUCUUUUCUAAGGGAAGAUAGUGACGGUACCUUAGGAAUAAGCGCCGGCUAACUCCGUGCCAGCAGCCGCGGUAAUACGGAGGGCGCGAGCGUUGUUCGGAUUUACUGGGCGUAAAGGGCGCGUAGGCGGCCUGGCAAGUUAAGGGUGAAAUCCCGGGGCUCAACCCCGGAACUGCUCUUAAAACUGCCAAGCUAGAGAUGGUCAGAGGCGGGUGGAAUUCCAGGUGUAGAGGUGAAAUUCGUAGAUAUCUGGAGGAACACCGGUGGCGAAGGCGGCCCGCUGGGGCCAUUCUGACGCUGAGGCGCGAAAGCGUGGGGAGCGAACGGGAUUAGAUACCCUCGUAGUC
This 439-nucleotide ribosomal RNA is filed under the name uncultured bacterium. Its description in RNAcentral is "partial 16S ribosomal RNA". It matches the Rfam family "Bacterial small subunit ribosomal RNA", at positions 339 to 795 of the family's 1533-position model. The record is from RNAcentral.